GGGGGACUGGCCCCAGCGGCUUGGCCCCCAGGCGUCUGUGGCAGUGCGUCCCCUCUCCGCGGGAUCGUCGCCAUGGUCCUGCGAUCCUAGGAGUCGGGCAAGGCCGAACCUGCCUGAAGAAACCUCAAGCGGAGAUUCAAGGAAGCACCACGUGAUCCCUAAGGAUCCCAAAGAUGCGUCGGGCAUGCAUGGGCGGUGUGAGGGUGCGUCUCCCUGACAGGUGUCCCCGCUGGGAUUUCGAGGAAUUAUCCGAUGAAAAGUAGAAGAGGUUGAAUGACUUUCAGUGGCCUUUUCUUCACAGAUUAUUCAGUAAGAACAGUCUCAGGAAAACAGGACCUUCAACAGAGAUAAGAGAAUUAAAAUAUGCAGACUAACAACUCUGGGAAUGGGCUGACCAGCCUGAUAAGAAUAGGCUGAUGGCACCUACAGAAGGCCACAAAACACUGACCAAGAAAGCAAUGACCAACAAAGCAAUGACCUGAGACUGCACAUUUCACAAGAAUGUUUUGAUCAUCAUUUUUUCUAAUUUCCCUUAAAAACCCCUGAUAUGGAGACAGAACUCGGCGGUCUUUGAACACUAGUUCACUGCCUCCCCUGGGUUGUUGGAUUCCUGAAUAGAGCUAACCAUCCUUUCACCAAUGCUCAUCUCUUAAACUUUCAAGUGACAAGUGGUCUGGACCUGAAUUUCGUUACAAAACCUAUGUAUACCUUACCUUACAUGG
RNAcentral lists this long non-coding RNA (722 nucleotides) under Homo sapiens (human). RNAcentral describes it as "ZNF571 antisense RNA 1". The record is from RNAcentral. Lineage: Eukaryota; Metazoa; Chordata; Mammalia; Primates; Hominidae.